CAGCACCUCAAGUGGUCAGGAUGAUUAUUGGGCCUAAAGCAUCCGUAGCCGGCUUUGUUAGGUUUCGGUUAAAUCCAUGUGCUCAACGCAUGGGCUGCCGAAAAUACUGCAUGGCUAGGGAGUGGGAGAGGUAGACGGUACUCAGUAGGAAGGGGUAAAAUCCUUUGAUCUAUUGAUGACCACCUGUGGCGAAGGCGGUCUACCGGAACACGUUCGACGGUGAGGGAUGAAAGCUGGGGGAGCAAACCGGAUUAGAUACCCGGGUAGUCCCAGCUGUAAACGAUGCAGACUCGAUGAUGCAUUGGCAUAAUAGCCAAUGCAGUGUCGCAGGGAAGCCGUUAAGUCUGCCGCCUGGGAAGUACGUACGCAAGUAUGAAACUUAAAGGAAUUGGCGGGGGAGCACCACAAGGGGUGAAGCCUGCGGUUCAAUUGGAGUCAACGCCAGAAAUCUUACCCGGAGAGACAGCAGAAUGAAGGUCAAGCUGAAGACUUUACCAGACAAGCUGAGAGGUGGUGCAUGGCCGUCGCCAGCUCGUGCCGUGAGAUGUCCUGUUAAGUCAGGUAACGAGCGAGAUCCCUGCCACUAGUUGCCAUCAUUAUUCUCAGGAAUAGUGGGGCGAAUUAGUGGGACUGCCGUUGUUAAAACGGAGGAAGGAAGGGGCUACGGCAGGUCAGUAUGCCCCGAAACUCUGGGGCCACACGCGGGCUGCAAUGGUAGUGACAAUGAGUUCCAAACUCGAAAGAGAGUGGCAAUCUCUAAACGCUACCACAGUUAUGACUGAGGGCUGUAACUCGCCCUCACGAAUAUGGAAUCCCUAGUAACCGCGUGUCAUUACCGCGCGGUGAAUACGUCCCUGCUCCUU
This 863-nucleotide ribosomal RNA is filed under the name uncultured organism. RNAcentral describes it as "bacterial SSU rRNA". It matches the Rfam family "Archaeal small subunit ribosomal RNA", at positions 477 to 1338 of the family's 1478-position model. The record is from RNAcentral.